RNAcentral lists this unclassified non-coding RNA (434 nucleotides) under uncultured fungus. RNAcentral describes it as "sequence contains ITS1, 5.8S rRNA gene". The record is from RNAcentral. Lineage: Eukaryota; Fungi.
UUAACUUAUUACAAUAUUACUCAGACAACACAAAAAUCAAGAGUUUAGGGUCCUCUGGCAGGCGCGGACCAGCCAAAGCCAGUGGUCAAGAGACGGGCCUGCCAAAGCAACAAAGGUAAUGUAAACAAAGGGUGGGAGAUCUACCCUGAAGGGCAAUUUCUCUGUAAUGAUCCUUCCGCAGGUUCACCUACGGAACGCAUGGUCUACAACCUUUUCAUUCACCUACGGAACGCAUGGUCUACAACCUUUUCAGAGGUAGGCCGGUCAUAUCUGAAUCCAAGACAGGUUGAAAUUCUUGGACCACCUUCGUUUGAUCUGUGGACUGCUGUGUGCAGCUGCAUGUUACCCUGAUGGUAUCCAAGCAUAGUGAAGAUGUUGCCUACGUAGGUAGACUGGUAUCCAAGGCUUCUGCAGGUGGUGUUCCUCAAGAGAAA